UUCUACCCUCUGGACAACAUACCUGUUGGAUGUACUGCCUUGUCUUACAUGAUGAAGCAGCCCAGACCGAAUUUGCCUUAAGACAGAUAGGAGUAACGCCUUCUGAGUUAUGUAAUUGGGCAGGAAGGAUGGAUUGUUCUCGGGCACCCACAUCCAAUGGAACUAUCUAGAAGCCACACAAAACAUGUUUUAGACAGCCGGCGUUCCAUUUCUCUUUGUAGAGUGCCUAGCAAAGACCUCAAAUCGCAGGAUCAAGACAUGGAGACUGAAUGACAUAUGGAGAAAAAAAAUCGACACACAAUUGUCAACACACUACAAGGCAGCAGGGUGACAAAAGCCCGAGAUGAUAAACAGGCGAAAUUUUGCAUAAUUAGGUCUUCGAAUUUCUUCAGUUGUGAAAUAUGUGUGACUCACGUGGCUGGCGAGGCUGGGCGUGGGUUCGGAAACGCUCACCUCUCUUAACCUGAGUGUGGGAGAAGCCAUCCUGGCUCCUUGUUUGCCAGGCCCCUGCUGUUUGCUCUGCCGGGUAUUAUUAACCAGCAGGUUUGACAGGAGUUCCUUGUUUUUCCGCACUGAUAUGAUUUAUUUUCUGAGUUGCCUGAACAAACAGGUUGUUUGGGCCAUUGUGUGGAGCAGCCUGGAGGUGGUUUUUGGAGAAGAGAGAGCUCUCUUCUGAGGAAGAAGUAUUACCCGGUUGCAGUAACUGUUGAGAAGUGAUUGUCUGGAAGUCCACAUGUCGGUGAAGCCAUGGAGGGCGGGGAAGGAACCCAUCCGAUUGAUGUGAAUGGUGGAGUGUCACUCAUUGGACCAGCUGCCCCUGAAAAAAUUCUCAGCCAACACUUCCAAACCUCUCUCCUCGCCCAGCCACCCCUACGAGAUUGGGAGGGAUGCGGUUUACACCGGAACCUUUGGCGCUUAUUAUGAAGACAUCAAAAAAUAUUUUAUCUGUGGGCAGUGAAAUGAAGUAAGAAACGAGGCUGUUUGUAGGAAAGCAUCAGCCAUUAAAUGAUCAAACCUGGAAUCAGAGCGCCCGGCUCUGGCAUCAUUAGCUUCAUGGCCUCAGACCCUCUCUGAGUCUCAGCCCUCGCCUGUAAAGGGCUGCCAGGGCAUUUAAAUAACUUGCUUGAAACAGCUGGGAUAGCGUCUAGUUCUCGAAGUGUGGUCCCCAAACCAGCAGCAUCAGCAGCAUCUGAGAACUUGUUAGAAACGCACCUUUCCAGCCCCACCUCACCUGCUGAAUCAGAGCGGGCAGGGAGGAAGCGACAGCAAUCUGUUUUUAUAAGCCCUCCAGGAUCUCCUUGGAGAAGACAAGACACGCAGUGCCCUGUGCCCAUGCAGGGGACUACACUUCAUCUACCACUGGCCCCCAGUUAAUCUGAGUGGACGGUAACUUCCUUCCAUGCCCUGCUUGCACAGUUAUGACGGAAGCCCUCAUUGCUCCUGGAAUACUUCCUGGAGACUCAGACAAGAAGGGUCACUCCCCCGGGUGCUGUGCUAUGGAGGGACCAGCAAAUCAGAAACACAAAAAAUUGUUGAAGGACACGCGGUGACUCUGUUCAGCAGGACGUGGUGCUCAGCACUGAAUAGUCAACCCAGAACCCCAGACGUCCACUCUCAUGACUGACAGUGUUCAAGCCCCAGGGAAACGCUUCCCCGAAUCUCUUCUGCACACCUCUUCCCUAGAUCCCCAAACAAAAGGCAACUCCCCGAGAGCUACUAAACUUGGGGCUUGUGUCAUUACUCAUGUAUGAGAAAAACACAACUUCCUUCACAUUGCCGAGGAAUUUCAGUGGGCAAGGGUUAAGGAAAGACAUAUGAAGAAGCUUGCUAUUCUGGGCUGAGUUGUGUCUUCCCAAAAUUCCUAUGUUGAAGACUAGUGCUUCAGAAUGUGACUGUAUUUGGAGACAAAGUCUUUAAAGAGGUAAUUAAGUUAAAAUGAGGUCACUGGUGGGCCCUAAUCCAGUACAAUCGGUGUCCCUAGAAGAAGAAAAGAUGAGGACACAGAUACACACAGAGGGAAGACUGUGAAGACAUGGGGAGAAGAUGGUUGUCCACGAGCAAGGAGAGAGGCCUCAGAGGGAACCAGCUCUGCUAAGACCUUAAUCUUGGACUUCUGGCCUCCAGAACUGUGAGGAAAUAAAUUUCUGUUGUUGAAGCCCCCAGUCUGCGGCAUUUUGCUGCGGCGGCUCCAGCAAGCCGACACACUUGCCGAAGUUCUUCCCCUCACACACUUCCCAGUACUGCCCUUUUCUUUCUUCUCUUUGCAUUCCAAUUUACGGUUCCUGUAGCACCUUCAGAUGCUGGCCCUCGGCCUGUACUUUAAAGGGCUCUACCCUGGUCCUCCCUUGACUGUGCCCUUCCUCGCAGGCCUAGGACAGAGGGCCCAGGUGUGCCCACCUGAAGCUUGCGUCUCCUCCCACCCCAGAAUUCCCUGUUCAAAUAGCCCUGAGCCCAUUACCAGCGACCGUGGUGGCCUCCUUCUCGCCCUGCUGCACACCCUUAAGCUGGAGAGCUGCCCAAGGGUUGCCAUCUAUAGUCAGAUCUUGGACAUGUAGACUACAGUAUAUACAUGCAAGUGUGCAAGACCCACGUGGGCUGGGCUGGAGCUGGAAGGUGGCAAGAGAAGGGGUGAAGUGUGGGGCUGGAGGCUGGAGUGCUGUGACUUUCUGACAUGGUUCUUCGAGAAGCUUAAUUUGAACUUGACCUUCCAUGUCCUUAUGAAGGUAUAUUCAGGGGCUGGCCCGAUGGCAUAGAGGUUAAGUUCACGUGCUCCACUUUGGGCCUGGGGUUCACCGGUUUGGAUCGCAGGAGUGGAUCUAGCACACUUGUCAAGCCACACUGCAGCGGCAUCCCACAUAAAGUAGAGGAAGAUGUGCACAGAUGUUUGCCCAGUGACAAUCUUUCUCAAGCAAAAGGAGGAAGAUGGGAAGAUGUUAGCUCAGGGCCAAUCUUCCUCCCCCGAAGAAAACCCAGAAGGUAUAUUCAUCAAGAUCAGGGAAUAGAACACAUUUUAUUUUAUGCUUUGUUAGUGUGAUUUACAACCUUUAUAUAUUUAGACACGUGCUACAUGGGUCUUCACAUCUUGCUUCAAACCCCACAAAUGCUAGGAGUACGCUUGGUGGUUCUGGAAGACUCAUGAAUUACAGCAAUAUUUGCCACUGCUGCAUGUGGAGACUGGCGAAUGUUUCACAAUAUUAAAGAAUUCACAUUACUCUUAAAUUUGUAUACGUAUAUAGGUCUAGACAUAACGUGUGAUAUCAACUUUAAUAUUAGCAAUGAGGAGGAUAUUAAAAUUAAAAUUGUAAAUACUUGUGUUUUUAUAAACAUUUAAUAUGAGUUCAUUAAAUAUUUUAAAACCUCAACAAAAAUUUUAGUUGGUUUAAAUAAUUUUGAUUUUAACUCUUAUUAUACUUUAUAAUUUGUAUUUUGUUUAAAUUUAAUAGAUUAUAUUAACUAUUUCAAAAUAAAAAUACAUUUUUAAAAUGUACAUAAAAUUUUAUUUCCUUUACAUUACUAUGAUCUAUGAUUUUUGACAAAGAAUACAUUAAAAUUGUGUACACUUUGAUUAUAAUUACAUUUUCUUUUUAUUGCAUUAGAAUAAGUAAAAACUGUGAUCAUGAUAGAAACAGAAAACGCAACAGUGGAGUGCGGAAAGAAAUAACAAGCCUUUAGAUGGAGAGCAUCCAUCACUCAUGCGGGAAGCCUAUCCUGAGAUCUGGCCACACCUAUCCCCGGGCCUGGCUAGGUGACCCUCCGCCAGGCCCCUGGAAUCUCCUGUGUGCACCCCCAGCUGCACUCACCAGACAGAAGCCUCUGCUCCGUAUCUCCCUCUUCCAGGAUGCCGUCGACAUCUUGAGGGCAGAGAUAAUUCUUGCUUAUGUUUAUCCUCCUAGCACCUAACACAAUGCCUGCUGUAUCAGGCCCUGAAUAAGUGUUUAGCGGAUGAAUGAAUGAAUGAAUGAUUCAAGAGCGAACCAGAUAUGGCUCCUCUCCUAAUGGAGCACAGUCUAGAAGAGGAGACAGAUAUGUGAAUAGAGAGUUAAAAUGCGUUGCUUUAAAUUGUGUUAUAAAUAACAGUGAGAGUUGCGUGGAAACUCUGAGCAGAGACCCUAACUGGGGCCCCGCUUCGUCAGGGGACAGCCAGCAGCUGCACAGGCCUUGCACUGAGAAGGGCCUGGGGCUUAGUUUACUGCUCUGUGGUCACUGUCCUGAAGUUCCCCAUCAUUGUUGAACAGGCACAGCACAUUUUUAUUCUGUUCUGAGUCCUGCACCUAACCCAUGUGGAUAUAAGGUGGGGGACGAUGGGGGGAGAGGGUCUGAAAGGACAUGGUCACUAGAGUUAGCUAAAUGAAAUGGGACCGGGAAGGGCACUGGGGGAACCAGGGCAAAGAGAAGUGCAUGCACGGAGGCUCAGAAGUAGAGAGCUCAGCCGGCACUUCACCUUGGCUGCGGCCGGCACACAGGAAGGAGCAGCGUGAAAAUCGUGUCAUGCUUCAGUGUGGGUUUUACACGGAAGCCAUGCAAAGGCUUUGUAUGGAUUCAGGCAGAAGAGUGACACGUUCAGAUUUGCAUUUUAGAAAGUUCAGUCUUGGGACAGUGUUAGAAUCUUUCCCCUUUUGCUGUUGGCAAGGGAAGGAGAUGGGGAGGUGAUGAAAGAGCAGAAGAGGCCGUAUCAGAGAAGGGCCUCCACGGUAGCCCGGGAGAGAUGAUGCCCGGGGUGAGCUAGAACGUGCUGUGAGAAUAGAAAAGAGACCUGAAGGAGCGGGAUCAAUGGGACUUGUUGAUCCGCAGGAGGACAGACGGAAGGCGGGGAGAGAAGUCAGGCAGGACUCCCAGAUUCCAGUGAGUCAGAAUGUUUUGGGUUUUCCCUAAGUAUGGAUUUGUUCUCCACUUACUUUCUUGCCAAUGGAACAUGAAAACACUCCACACAUCUAAAUGACUACUUUUUUCUGAGUUAUUGCUCCAUCCAACCAUGAUCUUUGUGUUGUCUCUAGAACUUAGAUGCUUAUAUUAAGGGGAAUUUUGCCAGGCUCUCUUAGAGAACAGGCUGGGCCUCGUGAUUUUGGCAGUUAUUGGAACAGCAAUAGCAGACCUCAGCUUUCUGACAUCAGGCGACUGCUCAGCAGGGGCCCUCCUCUUUGCUGGAUGGUCCACGAGUUACUUCUCAGCAAUGUCUCCCAACAGCGUCAUCUCACAGAGAUCGCUUUCCCAUAUUUGGAGACAAGAAAACAAUGACUCGGGUUAAGCAAAAGCUAAUAAGGAGAAAAGAAGACAUUCAAAGCCAAGUUUUCUGAAAUCGUGUUCUUUACUCUUUCCAUCAAAUGACAUUUGCCUCAGGGGGUUAAACCAAGAAACAAACCGAUUGAACAAACAGAUUAGCUUCACUGAAAUGUUUCUGAGCUUUCUUCCUUUGCCCAUUAUUUAUGUGGUCUCAGAGAUGGCUGGAAAAAGGUAGGAACAGUAAAUAACGAAAGAGGAAAGAGAGCUGCAAGAGUAGAAGAGUUACGAGGUUCAUUGAACAACCACCGAGGCAGAGCAAGCCUGGGCGAGAUGACGUCAAUGUGGUCAUGAUGCGGUCUUGAAGAAUCAUGGCCAUUCAACUCUAAAGAUCAUCCACUCCUUUGGGCCAGGGACCAUGGUGUUUUGUUUGCUGCUGGAUCCCCAGAGCCAGGAAAAACCCAUGUACUACUGCUGCUGGGAGUCCUAAAAAUGUAAAAGGAAGACUCGAUAAGCUCUGAUAGGUAUGCAAGUAAUUUUAGGGAAAAAAUUUUGCAAAGAUUAGUGCAUUGUAAGCACUGAUAAGGAACCUUACAAAGCUAUGUUGUAUUUUAUGGGUAAGGCGAUGCUGAAUGAACCAUCCAGAGGAUUCUUCAGAUGUGUGAAAACUCUCAUUCCAUGGAAGAAAAUCCUAACUGUUAAUGCUAUAUGCUUUGAUCCAGAAUUCAGGAGCCAGGCAGUCCAACCAGAAAAAACGUUGUCUUUGUUUAGUUCUUUGAUAAAAGCAGAACUUGCUUUACUUCAAAUGCGAACACUGUUUGUUCCUAUGUGGAGGAAUAUCAGGUUCAUUUCACACUGGGGAAGGGGAAACAUAUGUAUUGCAAUUCAGAUGCCUAAAAUUAAUACCUGUGGAGAAGCGGCAACAUAUAUGUCACCUACAGUAAGGACAACAAUGGUGAAUACUGAGUAAUCCCGGACAUUUACAUUUUUGUAUAUGCACAUCGACUGGUUUUAAUUAACUAAAUAAAAAACUGAAAAGAAAG
RNAcentral lists this long non-coding RNA (6260 nucleotides) under Equus caballus (horse). RNAcentral describes it as "lncRNA (ENSECAG00000053607.1)". Lineage: Eukaryota; Metazoa; Chordata; Mammalia; Perissodactyla; Equidae. The record is from RNAcentral.